RNAcentral lists this ribosomal RNA (275 nucleotides) under Salmonella enterica. RNAcentral describes it as "partial 16S ribosomal RNA". It matches the Rfam family "Bacterial small subunit ribosomal RNA", at positions 423 to 691 of the family's 1533-position model. Lineage: Bacteria; Pseudomonadati; Pseudomonadota; Gammaproteobacteria; Enterobacterales; Enterobacteriaceae. The record is from RNAcentral.
UUGUAAAGUACUUUCAGCGGGGAGGAAGGUGUUGUGGUUAAUAACCACUUCUAUUGACCUUACCCGCAGAAGAACCAGCGGCUUACUCCGGGCCAUCCCCCGCGGAAAUACGGAAGGUGCAAUCGUUAUUCGCAAUUACUGGGCGUAAAGCGCACGCAGGCGGUCUGUCAUUACCGAUGGGAAAUCCCCGGGCUCAACCUGGGAACUGCAUUCGAAACUGGGUGCUUCUUCCUUGUAUAGGGGGGUAGAAUUCCGUGUGUAGCGGUGAAAUGCUC